Molecule: unclassified non-coding RNA, 404 nt
Filed under: soil metagenome
Description: partial contains 5.8S ribosomal RNA, internal transcribed spacer 2, and large subunit ribosomal RNA
Rfam family: 5.8S ribosomal RNA (bases 1-122)
Source: RNAcentral
GAUGAAGAACGUAGCAAAAUGCGAUACUUGGUGUGAAUUGCAGAAUCCCGUGAACCAUCGAGUUUUUGAACGCAAGUUGCGCCCGAAGCCUUUUGGCCGAGGGCACGUCUGCCUGGGCGUCACGCAUCGCGUCGCCCCCCACAAUUCUCCGUAAAGGGAACUUGUGCUUUGGGGGCGGAUAUUGGUCUCCCGUGCUCAUGGCGUGGUUGGCCGAAAUAGGAGUCCCUUCGAUGGACGCACGAACUAGUGGUGGUCGUAAAAACCCUCGUCUUUUGUUUCGUGCUGUUAGUCGCAAGGGAAACUCUAAGAAAACCCCAACGUGUCGUCUUUUGACGGCGCUUCGACCGCGACCCCAGGUCAGGCGGGACUACCCGCUGAGUUUAAGCAUAUCAAUAAGCGGAGGA